CAGCGCCACGAGUGGGAACUACAAUUAUUGGGCCUAAAGCGUCCGUAGCCGGUUUAGUAAAUUUCUUGUGAAAUUGUUGAGCUUAACUUAACAACGUGCAGGAAAGACUGCUAAACUUGGGACUGGGAGGAGUUAGAAGUAUUUUUGGGGUAGCGGUAAAAUGUUAUAAUCCCAAAGAGACUACCUAUGGCGAAAGCAUCUAACUAGAACAGGUCCGACGGUGAGGGACGAAAGCUAGGGGAGCAAAACGGAUUAGAUACCCGAGUAGUCC
RNAcentral lists this ribosomal RNA (271 nucleotides) under uncultured archaeon. Its description in RNAcentral is "partial 16S ribosomal RNA". It matches the Rfam family "Archaeal small subunit ribosomal RNA", at positions 477 to 747 of the family's 1478-position model. The record is from RNAcentral.